Molecule: long non-coding RNA, 733 nt
Organism: Puntigrus tetrazona (Sumatra barb)
Lineage: Eukaryota; Metazoa; Chordata; Actinopteri; Cypriniformes; Cyprinidae
Exons: 4
Source: RefSeq, a predicted model, not a curated record
AGUGAAUACAUUAAACAAGAACAAAACAAGCACAAUAUCUCAGAUGAAGCUCUAGUCAACCUAUUCUACUGCUUACUUGAACUCAAGGAUCAUUCAAUAUAUGAGGAAAUACAGAGUUACCUCAGUUCAGAUGAACAUCCAGAAAGAGAUCUCUCAUCUUCAAUGUGCACAGUCCUGACCUACAUACUGUUGAUAUCAGAGAAGGUGCUGGAUGAGUUUAACCCAAAGAAGUUUACAUCAUCAUCUUCAAAUUACGCUAUACUUUGUCAACUGUGAAAUGCUGCAGAAAAGCACUAUUUGAUGGCUGUGGUUUUAAUGAAACAUGCUGUGAAACUGUGUCUUCUGCUCUACAAUCAUCAAACUCUCAUCUGAUAGAGCUGAACCUGAGCAGCAAUCACCUGCAGGAUUCAGGAGUGAAGCUGCUUUCUGAUGGACUGAAGAGUUCACACUGUCGACUGAACAUACUGAGGCUGAGUGGUUGUAAUUUCACUUCUCAAUCCUGUGAAAGUUUGUCUUUAGCUCUACAGUCCUCAAAAUCUGUCCUGAGAGAGCUGGAUCUGAGUAACAAUGACCUUCAGGAUUCUGGAGUUAAACUUCUUUCUGAAGGACUAAAGAGUUUAAACUCUAAGCUGGAGAUACUGAGUUUUACAAUCUUCAAACUCUGUUCUGAGAGAGCUGGACCUGAGUAACAAUGACCUGCAGGAUUCAGGGAGUGAAGCUUUUAUUUCUGAUG